This 255-nucleotide ribosomal RNA is filed under the name uncultured bacterium. RNAcentral describes it as "partial 16S ribosomal RNA". It matches the Rfam family "Bacterial small subunit ribosomal RNA", at positions 524 to 777 of the family's 1533-position model. The record is from RNAcentral.
UACGGGGGGGGGCAAGCGUUGUUCGGAAUUACUGGGCGUAAAGGGCUCGUAGGCGGCCAACUAAGUCAUACGUGAAAUCCCCCGGCUUAACCGGGGAACUGCGUCUGAUACUGGAUGGCUUGAGUUCGGGAGAGGGAUGCGGAAUUCCAGGUGUAGCGGUGAAAUGCGUAGAUAUCUGGAGGAACACCGGUGGCGAAGGCGGCAUCCUGGACCGAUACUGACGCUGAGGCGCGAAAGCGUGGGGAGCAAACAGGG